AGAUGACAACAAUCCCUCCACCACCAUCAACAACAUUCACCUCUGCUAGAAAUGAUGAUACAGGUCUUUGGUGGAGAAGGGUCUAUGUUCCCGUGGGUGUGGCAGCUCUCUCCAUCAUCGUCGUGUCAGUUCACAUCUGGACAAAAACUAACGGUAACAAGACUGAUCAUAACAAAACUGUGA
Molecule: long non-coding RNA, 183 nt
Organism: Cololabis saira (Pacific saury)
Lineage: Eukaryota; Metazoa; Chordata; Actinopteri; Beloniformes; Belonidae
Exons: 3
Source: RefSeq, a predicted model, not a curated record